CCUACGGGUGGCUGCAGUGGGGAAUAUUGGACAAUGGGCGAAAGCCUGAUCCAGCCAUGCCGCGUGUGUGAAGAAGGCCUUCGGGUUGUAAAGCACUUUCAGUGGGGAAGAAAGCCUUGGGGCUAAUACCCUCGAGGAAGGACAUCACCCACAGAAGAAGCACCGGCUAACUCCGUGCCAGCAGCCGCGGUAAUACGGAGGGUGCGAGCGUUAAUCGGAAUUACUGGGCGUAAAGCGCGCGUAGGCGGUCUGAUAAGCCGGUUGUGAAAGCCCCGGGCUCAACCUGGGAACGGCAUCCGGAACGGUCAGGCUAGAGGGCAGGAGAGGAAGGUAGAAUUCCCGGUGUAGCGGUGAAAUGCGUAGAGAUCGGGAGGAAUACCAGUGGCGAAGGCGGCCAUCUGGACUGACACUGACGCUGAGGUGCGAAAGCGUGGGUAGCAAACAGGAUUAGAUACCCCAGUAGUC
This 465-nucleotide ribosomal RNA is filed under the name Vreelandella stevensii. RNAcentral's name for it is "partial 16S ribosomal RNA". It matches the Rfam family "Bacterial small subunit ribosomal RNA", at positions 338 to 795 of the family's 1533-position model. The record is from RNAcentral. Lineage: Bacteria; Pseudomonadati; Pseudomonadota; Gammaproteobacteria; Oceanospirillales; Halomonadaceae.